AAAGGAGGUGGCAAGCGUUGUCCGGAAUUAUGGGGCGUAAAGCGCGCGCAGGCGGCCUCUUAAGUCUGAUGUGAAAGCCCACGGCUCAACCGUGGAGGGUCAUUGGAAACUGGGAAACUUGAGUACAGAAGAGGAGAGUGGAAUUCCACGUGUAGCGGUGAAAUGCGUAGAUAUGUGGAGGAACACCAGUGGCGAAGGCGACUCUCUGGUCUGUCACUGACGCUGAGGCGCGAAAGCGUGGGGAGCAAACAGG
Molecule: unclassified non-coding RNA, 253 nt
Filed under: uncultured Bacillaceae bacterium
Lineage: Bacteria; Bacillati; Bacillota; Bacilli; Caryophanales; Bacillaceae
Description: contains 16S-23S intergenic spacer region
Rfam family: Bacterial small subunit ribosomal RNA
Source: RNAcentral